Molecule: ribosomal RNA, 397 nt
Filed under: uncultured bacterium
Lineage: Bacteria
Description: partial 16S ribosomal RNA
Rfam family: Bacterial small subunit ribosomal RNA
Source: RNAcentral
AUACGUAGGGGGCGAGCGUUGUCCGGAAUGAUUGGGCGUAAAGGGCGCGUAGGCGGCGCGGUAAGUCUGGAGUGAAAGUCCUGCUUUCAAGGUGGGAAUUGCUUUGGAUACUGCCGCGCUUGAGUGCAGGAGAGGUUAUCGGAAUUCCCGGUGUAGCGGUGAAAUGCGUAGAGCUCGGGAGGAACACCAGUGGCGAAGGCGGGUAACUGGACUGCAACUGACGCUGAGGCGCGAAAGUGUGGGGAGCAAACAGGAUUAGAUACCCUGGUAGUCCACACUGUAAACGAUGAAUGCUAGGUGUAGGAGGUAUCGACCCCUUGUGUGCCGGAGUCAACACAAUAAGCAUUCCGCCUGGGGAGUACGGCCGCAAGGUUGAAACUCAAAUGAAUUGGCGGGG